RNAcentral lists this ribosomal RNA (2250 nucleotides) under Salmonella enterica subsp. enterica serovar Typhimurium. RNAcentral's name for it is "partial 23S ribosomal RNA". It matches the Rfam family "Bacterial large subunit ribosomal RNA", at positions 711 to 2852 of the family's 2925-position model. Lineage: Bacteria; Pseudomonadati; Pseudomonadota; Gammaproteobacteria; Enterobacterales; Enterobacteriaceae. The record is from RNAcentral.
AGACCCGAAACCCGGUGAUCUAGCCAUGGGCAGGUUGAAGGUUGGGUAACACUAACUGGAGGACCGAACCGACUAAUGUUGAAAAAUUAGCGGAUGACCUGUGGCUGGGGGUGAAAGGCCAAUCAAACCGGGAGAUAGCUGGUUCUCCCCGAAAGCUAUUUAGGUAGCGCCUCGUGAAUUCAUCUCCGGGGGUAGAGCACUGUUUCGGCUAGGGGGCCAUCCCGGCUUACCAACCCGAUGCAAACUGCGAAUACCGGAGAAUGUUAUCACGGGAGACACACGGCGGGUGCUAACGUCCGUCGUGAAGAGGGAAACAACCCAGACCGCCAGCUAAGGUCCCAAAGUCAUGGUUAAGUGGGAAACGAUGUGGGAAGGCCCAGACAGCCAGGAUGUUGGCUUAGAAGCAGCCAUCAUUUAAAGAAAGCGUAAUAGCUCACUGGUCGAGUCGGCCUGCGCGGAAGAUGUAACGGGGCUAAACCAUGCACCGAAGCUGCGGCAGCGAACGUAUCACCCAAGACAACUUUACGGAGUUGACGAUUGACGGAGCGAAGCGACGUCAAAGCGUUCAUUAAAGUCGAGUUGGCUUAGGGAUACGUUCGUUGGGUAGGGGAGCGUUCUGUAAGCCUGUGAAGGUGUGUCGUGAGGCAUGCUGGAGGUAUCAGAAGUGCGAAUGCUGACAUAAGUAACGAUAAAGCGGGUGAAAAGCCCGCUCGCCGGAAGACCAAGGGUUCCUGUCCAACGUUAAUCGGGGCAGGGUGAGUCGACCCCUAAGGCGAGGCCGAAAGGCGUAGUCGAUGGGAAACGGGUUAAUAUUCCCGUACUUGGUGUUACUGCGAAGGGGGGACGGAGAAGGCUAUGUUGGCCGGGCGACGGUUGUCCCGGUUUAAGCGUGUAGGUGUGUGUUCCAGGUAAAUCCGGUUCACUUUAACACUGAGGCGUGACGACGAGGCACUACGGUGCUGAAGCAACAAAUGCCCUGCUUCCAGGAAAAGCCUCUAAGCAUCAGGUAACACGAAAUCGUACCCCAAACCGACACAGGUGGUCAGGUAGAGAAUACCAAGGCGCUUGAGAGAACUCGGGUGAAGGAACUAGGCAAAAUGGUGCCGUAACUUCGGGAGAAGGCACGCUGACACGUAGGUGAAGUGAUUUACUCAUGGAGCUGAAGUCAGUCGAAGAUACCAGCUGGCUGCAACUGUUUAUUAAAAACACAGCACUGUGCAAACACGAAAGUGGACGUAUACGGUGUGACGCCUGCCCGGUGCCGGAAGGUUAAUUGAUGGGGUCAGCGCAAGCGAAGCUCCUGAUCGAAGCCCCGGUAAACGGCGGCCGUAACUAUAACGGUCCUAAGGUAGCGAAAUUCCUUGUCGGGUAAGUUCCGACCUGCACGAAUGGCGUAAUGAUGGCCAGGCUGUCUCCACCCGAGACUCAGUGAAAUUGAACUCGCUGUGAAGAUGCAGUGUACCCGCGGCAAGACGGAAAGACCCCGUGAACCUUUACUAUAGCUUGACACUGAACAUUGAGCCUUGAUGUGUAGGAUAGGUGGGAGGCUUUGAAGUGUGGACGCCAGUCUGCAUGGAGCCGACCUUGAAAUACCACCCUUUAAUGUUUGAUGUUCUAACGUGGACCCGUAAUCCGGGUUGCGGACAGUGUCUGGUGGGUAGUUUGACUGGGGCGGUCUCCUCCUAAAGAGUAACGGAGGAGCACGAAGGUUGGCUAAUCCUGGUCGGACAUCAGGAGGUUAGUGCAAUGGCAUAAGCCAGCUUGACUGCGAGCGUGACGGCGCGAGCAGGUGCGAAAGCAGGUCAUAGUGAUCCGGUGGUUCUGAAUGGAAGGGCCAUCGCUCAACGGAUAAAAGGUACUCCGGGGAUAACAGGCUGAUACCGCCCAAGAGUUCAUAUCGACGGCGGUGUUUGGCACCUCGAUGUCGGCUCAUCACAUCCUGGGGCUGAAGUAGGUCCCAAGGGUAUGGCUGUUCGCCAUUUAAAGUGGUACGCGAGCUGGGUUUAGAACGUCGUGAGACAGUUCGGUCCCUAUCUGCCGUGGGCGCUGGAGAACUGAGGGGGGCUGCUCCUAGUACGAGAGGACCGGAGUGGACGCAUCACUGGUGUUCGGGUUGUCAUGCCAAUGGCACUGCCCGGUAGCUAAAUGCGGAAGAGAUAAGUGCUGAAAGCAUCUAAGCACGAAACUUGCCCCGAGAUGAGUUCUCCCUGAGACUUAGAGUCUCCUGAAGGAACGUUGAAGACGACGACG